RNAcentral lists this ribosomal RNA (449 nucleotides) under uncultured bacterium. Its description in RNAcentral is "bacterial SSU rRNA". It matches the Rfam family "Bacterial small subunit ribosomal RNA", at positions 335 to 797 of the family's 1533-position model. The record is from RNAcentral.
UGCCUACGGGUGGCAGCAGUGGGGAAUAUUGCACAAUGGGCGCAAGCCUGAUGCAGCGACGCCGCGUGAGGGAUGACGGCCUUCGGGUUGUAAGCCUCUUUCAGCAGGGAAGAAGCGAAAGUGACGGUACCUGCAGAAGAAGCGCCGGCUAACUACGUGCCAGCAGCCGCGGUGAUACGUAGGGCGCAAGCGUUGUCCGGAAUUAUUGGGCGUAAAGAGCUCGUAGGCGGUCAGUCGCGUCUGCUGUGAAAACUCGAGGCUCAACCUCGGGCUUGCAGGGGGUACGGGCUGACUAGAGUGCGGUAGGGGUGACUGGAAUUCCUGGUGUAGCGGUGGAAUGCGCAGAUAUCAGGAGGAACACCGAUGGCGAAGGCAGGUCACUGGGCCGCAACUGACGCUGAGGAGCGAAAGCAUGGGGAGCGAACAGGAUUAGAUACCCCUGUAGUCCG